GAAAUGCGAUAAGUAAUGUGAAUUGCAGAAUUCCGUGAAUCAUCGAAUCUUUGAACGCACAUUGCGCCCGCCAGUACUCUGGCGGGCAUGCCUGCCCGAGCGUCAUUUCAACCCUCGAGCCCCCCCGGGGGCUUGGUGUUGGAGGUGGGCCGCCCCUCGCGGCGGCCCUCUCCCAAAUCCAUUGGCGGUCUCGCUGUCGCCUCCUCUGCGUAGUAGCACACCUCGCACCGGAGCAGCAGCGCGGCCACGCCGUAAAACCCACCACUUCCGAAAGGUUGACCUCGGAUCAGGUAGGAAUACCCGCUGAACUUAA
RNAcentral lists this unclassified non-coding RNA (313 nucleotides) under uncultured Hypocreales. RNAcentral describes it as "sequence contains ITS1". The stretch from base 1 to 105 matches the Rfam family "5.8S ribosomal RNA", at positions 50 to 154 of the family's 154-position model. Lineage: Eukaryota; Fungi; Ascomycota; Sordariomycetes; Hypocreales. The record is from RNAcentral.